UAAAAAUUAAUAUACAUCUCUAUCUGUGUAGCUUAAAAUACAGCUGCUGAACAGUUCCCUGCAUCUCUUGGUCGCUCUAGUUGAUUAUGUAAAUGCUAUAUAAUUUACAAAAUAUGGCAAACAUGCGGCCAAACAAAGGGCGGCAAUUACAUGAAAAUCUCAAUUCAAUUGAGAGGCUGCGAAUGGAGACGCGGCUGUCAAUAAAUUGAGAAUCAACCACCGUUAAAUAUGAAUACAAACAGCAUCAGGCUCAGCCGCCAUUUCUGAUCGACAGCUGUCACGAAUGACAAUUGGAUUGCCAAGUUCUGGAUUGCCCUGGUUCUGGCUCUGGCCGGGCUCUGACUCCGGUCUCUGGUCUCUGGCCUCUGCCCUCCGUCUGCAUCAAAAUCGUAUAAAAUAUGCAAUAAAAAUAUGAGACCGCAGAAUUCUUAUUUAUAGAAUACGUAAAAUGCACGAGGUCAUCAAAAUCAGAGAAAACAACAAUAAUAACAACAGCAACAACAACAACGAAAACGACAACGAAAGCGAUAUGAAAAUUGAAACAAUGGCAAUGGCUCUACUCGAUCCGGGAGUGGGUUUCAUUGCGGGACUGGAGGACACUUGAGUAAAACGCAGAAACGUGGUUGCGUUUUUCGUGACUUGUGGGCGAGAGUGCGGCAGGGGAAAUGUAAAAUUGAGUAUAUUCAAUAUAAAUGAGCUACACACUUUAGUAAUUGAGGAUUUUCAAUCUGGAGUAUCUUGUCUGAAUUUCAAACCUACCUGCAGGAUACCCUGGCUAUCUUGUCUUCGAGCAGUCAUAUGUUUGGACUACGAAUAGGAA
This 820-nucleotide small RNA is filed under the name Drosophila mojavensis. Its description in RNAcentral is "GI25704". The record is from RNAcentral. Lineage: Eukaryota; Metazoa; Arthropoda; Insecta; Diptera; Drosophilidae.